GACGAACGCUGGCGGCGUGCUUAACACAUGCAAGUCGAACGGUAAGGCCCUUCGGGGUACACGAGUGGCGAACGGGUGAGCAACACGUGGGUGAUCUGCCCUGCACUUCGGGAUAAGCCUGGGAAACUGGGUCUAAUACCGGAUAGGACCACUGCCUGCAUGGGUGGUGGUGGAAAGCUUUUGCGGUGUGGGAUGGGCCCGCGGCCUAUCAGCUUGUUGGUGGGGUGAUGGCCUACCAAGGCGACGACGGGUAGCCGGCCUGAGAGGGUGACCGGCCACACUGGGACUGAGAUACGGCCCAGACUCCUACGGGAGGCAGCAGUGGGGAAUAUUGCACAAUGGGCGCAAGCCUGAUGCAGCGAGGCCGCGUGAGGGAUGACGGCCUUCGGGUUGUAAACCUCUUUCAGCACCGACGAAGCGUAAGUGACGGUAGGUGCAGAAGAAGGACCGGCCAACUACGUGCCAGCAGCCGCCGUAA
RNAcentral lists this ribosomal RNA (478 nucleotides) under uncultured bacterium. Its description in RNAcentral is "partial 16S ribosomal RNA". It matches the Rfam family "Bacterial small subunit ribosomal RNA", at positions 28 to 523 of the family's 1533-position model. The record is from RNAcentral.